UGUUGUGACCAACAUUUACCU
Molecule: non-coding RNA, 21 nt
Filed under: Arabidopsis thaliana (thale cress)
Lineage: Eukaryota; Viridiplantae; Streptophyta; Magnoliopsida; Brassicales; Brassicaceae
Source: RNAcentral